This 286-nucleotide ribosomal RNA is filed under the name Neisseria gonorrhoeae. RNAcentral describes it as "partial 16S ribosomal RNA". It matches the Rfam family "Bacterial small subunit ribosomal RNA", at positions 1 to 293 of the family's 1533-position model. The record is from RNAcentral. Lineage: Bacteria; Pseudomonadati; Pseudomonadota; Betaproteobacteria; Neisseriales; Neisseriaceae.
UUUUUUAAUGAGAGUUUGAUCCUGGCUCAGGAUGAACGCUGGCGGCAUGCCUAAUACAUGCAAGUCGAACGGGUGCUUGCACCCAGUGGCGAACGGGUGAGUAACACGUAUCUAAUCUACCAUUAGCGGGGAUAACAGUUGGAAACGACUGCUAAUACCGCAUACGACAUUUUCUGGCAUCAGAGAAUGUUAAAAGGUCCGUUUGGAUCACUAAUGGAUGAGGAUGCGGCGUAUUAGUUAGUUGGUGGGGUAAUGGCCUACCAAGACAAUGAUACGUAGCCGAACU